RNAcentral lists this ribosomal RNA (495 nucleotides) under uncultured bacterium. RNAcentral describes it as "partial 16S ribosomal RNA". It matches the Rfam family "Bacterial small subunit ribosomal RNA", at positions 28 to 507 of the family's 1533-position model. The record is from RNAcentral.
GACGAACGCUGGCGGCGUGCCUAAUACAUGCAAGUAGAACGCUGAAGGAGGAGCUUGCUCUUCUGGAUGAGUUGCGAACGGGUGAGUAACGCGUAGGUAACCUGCCUGGUAGCGGGGGAUAACUAUUGGAAACGAUAGCUAAUACCGCAUAACAGUAGAUGUUGCAUGACAUUUACUUAAAAGGUGCAAUUGCAUCACUACCAGAUGGACCUGCGUUGUAUUAGCUAGUUGGUGGGGUAACGGCUCACCAAGGCGACGAUACAUAGCCGACCUGAGAGGGUGAUCGGCCACACUGGGACUGAGACACGGCCCAGACUCCUACGGGAGGCAGCAGUAGGGAAUCUUCGGCAAUGGACGGAAGUCUGACCGAGCAACGCCGCGUGAGUGAAGAAGGUUUUCGGAUCGUAAAGCUCUGUUGUAAGAGAAGAACGAGUGUGAGAGUGGAAAGUUCACACUGUGACGGUAUCUUACCAGAAAGGGACGGCUAACUACGUG